This 505-nucleotide ribosomal RNA is filed under the name uncultured bacterium. RNAcentral's name for it is "partial 16S ribosomal RNA". It matches the Rfam family "Bacterial small subunit ribosomal RNA", at positions 28 to 507 of the family's 1533-position model. The record is from RNAcentral.
GACGAACGCUGGCGGCGUGCCUAAUACAUGCAAGUAGAACGCACAGUUUAUACCGUAGCUUGCUACACCAUAAACUGUGAGUUGCGAACGGGUGAGUAACGCGUAGGUAACCUGCCUGGUAGCGGGGGAUAACUAUUGGAAACGAUAGCUAAUACCGCAUAAUAUUGAUUAUUGCAUGAUAAUUGAUUGAAAGAUGCUAUUGCAUCACUACCAGAUGGACCUGCGUUGUAUUAGCUAGUAGGUGAGGUAACGGCUCACCUAGGCGACGAUACAUAGCCGACCUGGGAGGGUGGUCGGCCACACUGGGACGGAGACACGGCCCAGACUCCUACCGGAGGCAGCAGUAGGGAAUCUUCGGCAAUGGACGAAAGUCUGACCGAGCAACGCCGCGGGAGUGAAGAAGGUUUUCGGAUCGUAAAGCUCUGUUGUAAGAGAAGAACGGGUGUGAGAGUGGAAAGUUCACACUGUGACGGUAUCUUACCAGAAAGGGACGGCUAACUACGUG